Molecule: non-coding RNA, 72 nt
Organism: Phrynosoma platyrhinos (Desert horned lizard)
Lineage: Eukaryota; Metazoa; Chordata; Lepidosauria; Squamata; Phrynosomatidae
Source: the annotation of a GenBank genome assembly
ACCAAUGUAGUCUAGUGGUUUGAGCACUGGGCUAUGAUUCUAGAGACCAGGGUUCAAAUCCCCUCUUGGCCA